GACGAACGCUGGCGGCGUGCCUAAUACAUGCAAGUAGAACGCUGAAGGAGGAGCUUGCUUCUCUGGAUGAGUUGCGAACGGGUGAGUAACGCGUAGGUAACCUGCCUGGUAGCGGGGGAUAACUAUUGGAAACGAUAGCUAAUACCGCAUAAGAGUAGAUGUUGCAUGACAUUUGCUUAAAAGGUGCAAUUGCAUCACUACCAGAUGGACCUGCGUUGUAUUAGCUAGUUGGUGGGGUAACGGCUUACCAAGGCGACGAUACAUAGCCGACCUGAGAGGGGGAUCGGCCACACUGGGACUGGGACACGGCCCAGACUCCUACGGGAGGCAGCAGGAGGGAAUCUUCGGCAAUGGACGGAAGGCUGACCGAGCAACGCCGCGGGAGUGAAGAAGGGUUUCGGAUCGGAAAGCUCUGUUGUAAGGGAAGAACGAGUGUGAGAGUGGAAAGUUCACACUGUGACGGUAUCUUACCAGAAAGGGACGGCUAACUACGUG
RNAcentral lists this ribosomal RNA (495 nucleotides) under uncultured bacterium. RNAcentral's name for it is "partial 16S ribosomal RNA". It matches the Rfam family "Bacterial small subunit ribosomal RNA", at positions 28 to 507 of the family's 1533-position model. The record is from RNAcentral.